CUACGGCAGCUACACGGGAUGCUGGGAAAUGCAGUUCCUCUUCCUUCUUGGUUACUGUCUCUCCUCCCCCAACCCGGAGCCCUCGCGGAAUCCUGGGAAAUGUAGUUCCUUCUUCCUCCUGGGGGUCACUGUUCUCCCCUGAGCCGCCUGAUUGGUUUGCUCUUCACAUAUGGGCAGCUCUCACCUCUAAAGCUUUUUUUUUUUUAUUGAAUUAUAAGUCGGCCACAGAGUGAUUAUUUGAGGAAAUGUCUGAAAGGGUAGAGAGACAAUAGAGAGGGCUAGAGGCCUCUGUGCUAAGCCUAACCCAGUCUGGUUUUCUUGGACUUAUAAUAAUAACCAGCAUUUAUAUAGCACCCAGGUUUGAAAAGCGCUUCAAAAUAUCAUCUCAUUUAAUCCUCUGCACCAAUCCUGAAAACUGGUUGCUGUUGUGAGUUUUAUUUACAGAUGGAGAAAAUGAGACAAACUUUACUCAAGUCGUCCCUAUUCCCAGAUGGGGCUUUUACUCCGCUGCGCCACGUAGUGGUCGACCUUCACUAACAGAGUUACCAUAGUAACCAGAAACCCGGCCCUCCAGUCUCUCUCCAAUCAGGCUGUUGAACCUGAGGUGAGAAUGAUAAAGAGAAGAGAGCGAGAGCAAGAAAGUUCUUCUUUCCAAAGUAAAACAUUUGAUUAAGCUGGAGCUGAACCAAAGGCAAGAAAAGUGGAAAGACUGGAGUUUGAUGUUCCCAAUCCUGCAAAAAUUCAAACAGCCCAGGCAGAGUGAAUAGAUCACUUGUAGCUGAAGCACAAAGGAGAUAGCUAACUGCUGAGAGAUGAGCGGAGUUUGGCAGCCUCUGAAACCAACUCAGUCCAAAGCUUGAGGACAAAUCCCCAGGAAGAGCUUUGCUCCAGCCAAGAUUCAAGAAACUUUGAAAAAGGAAUUCUUCCUCACAGAUCAAAAAGGAACUCCUUAAAGGGAGUGAUGCCACCUCCAGCAACCACUUGCUUAUCUCCUAUCUACUUUGCAGAAACCAUUCGACCAUACUUUAGCCCUUGGAAAUGAAGUUGAUGAUAAUGGCCAACAUUUCCCAAAUCUAUUUUUCUGUGAUUAUUAAAAUAUGCAAAUAAUAUAAAAUUCAAUUUAUAGAAUACAAGGCAAUAAAAUAAUAAAUUUUAAAUAAAUAAAUAAAAUA
RNAcentral lists this long non-coding RNA (1172 nucleotides) under Monodelphis domestica (gray short-tailed opossum). Its description in RNAcentral is "lncRNA (ENSMODG00000049780.1)". Lineage: Eukaryota; Metazoa; Chordata; Mammalia; Didelphimorphia; Didelphidae. The record is from RNAcentral.